RNAcentral lists this ribosomal RNA (356 nucleotides) under uncultured Rhodoferax sp. Its description in RNAcentral is "bacterial SSU rRNA". It matches the Rfam family "Bacterial small subunit ribosomal RNA", at positions 1024 to 1382 of the family's 1533-position model. Lineage: Bacteria; Pseudomonadati; Pseudomonadota; Betaproteobacteria; Burkholderiales; Comamonadaceae. The record is from RNAcentral.
UACAGCGGACACAGGUGGUGCAUGGUUGUCGUCAGCUCGUGUCGUGAGAUGUUGGGUUAAGUCCCGCAACGAGCGCAACCCUUGUCAUUAGUUGCUACAUUCAGUUGGGCACUCUAAUGAGACUACCGGUGACAAGCCGGAGGAAGGUGGGGAUGACGUCAAGUCCUCAUGGCCCUUAUAGGUGGGGCUACACACGUCAUACAAUGGCUGGUACAAAGGGUUGCCAACCCGCGAGGGGGAGCUAAUCCCAUAAAGCCAGUCGUAGUCCGGAUCGUAGUCUGCAACUCGACUACGUGAAGUCGGAAUCGCUAGUAAUCGUGGAUCAGAAUGUCACGGUGAAUACGUUCCCGGGUCUU